Heterocephalus glaber (naked mole-rat) is the source of this 1659-nucleotide non-coding RNA. The record is from RefSeq and is a predicted model, not a curated record. NCBI's taxonomy places the organism in Eukaryota, Metazoa, Chordata, Mammalia, Rodentia, Bathyergidae.
CUGAGCCUCCAUGUUCAGAGACUCCUGGAGGACGCUGUUGGCACUGCUACAGGAGCAUCGGGGAUGGGAGAUCGAGUCUUUUGUAUUCAUGACUGAAUACCCACUGACUGGCGUAGGGCAGAACGCAUAGUAGACCCUCAGUAAACAGUUAUUGGCAAACCUUCUGACUAGGAACUGGUGACUCAGACUCCUCAGAGGGAUUGAAUCAGGACCUUGCGCUCCUGAGGGAGGCAGUGGAACCACUGAGCUAAAUCCCGGGCCCUGCUGCUUAGAUUUUCUUAGAGUGUCCUGGACAGAGGGGAAGCCUUCUCCCUCAGCCAGCCACUGCUUGGACAACUUCACGGAAAGCUGAUGCAGGAGAGGUGUUGCUUAGCCAGGGCUUCCCCUGGGCUUGCAUGUGUGGGUGCACACUGAGAACGGCUGGGGCCUGCUGAGGCCGGACCAGGCCGAGCCCGCUGCGUCCUGGCACCCCGGCUGCUGUUACGUCCUGCUCACAGCUCAGCGUGACCUGGGCAAGCACUGGUACUUAAGCCUCUCGUCCUCAAAGUUCAUGAGAAGAUCCUUGGAACUGGGGCUCGUUGCCAUUUGAGAACCAUUUUUGAGGGAAGGGAAACAACAAAAUGGCAUUAAAGUUUUUCCCCAAUGGAAAAAAAAUGACAUCUGUUCAAAACAAAAUAACCGGCAAUGGUACAUUUCCUUUUUAGUGUGAAAAUAUUAUUAGCAUAAUUGGUUUCUGCAGGGCUGCCAUUUGGGACGACUGGGCAGGGGAAAUUGUGUGCCGGCCCCCAGCUUCUGAUUGUUAUUUCGUGGCAAUAUAAAGCAUGACAAUUUUCACUGAAGCACGUCUAGAUAAACGCUUCCCUUUUUACCUAGGGCUCUCUGAAGUGGUGGCCCUGUUGCUACCCAGAUUCCUGGACACUGCUCACCAGGGAUCACAUUUUUGAGCCUGAGUCUUUCUAGGGUUAUUGUCCAGGGACCAAUAGCUCAGUUGGGAGUAGGUGUCCACUAAAAGCAACUGUUUGCUAGAAAGAACAUAACAUUUAUUUUCCAAAUUGCCAACCAUUUGGAGGAGCAAGAAGUUCUGGCCUGAUGGUCACAUAUACCCUGCUUUUCCCUCACAGUGGGGCACAAAAGGGUCAGGGCAUCAAGGUCUCCCUGUAGCAUCCAUCUUUCCACCUUCCAUUUUAGAAUUUUCCAGGAAGCCUCUCUUCUGUUUUGAGAACUCUGACUACUAAAGGAUGCCAAUAAUCCUAGGAAGGUUAAGGCAAGCUCUCCUUAGCUGUUCAGACUUGACAACAUAAAGAUGUUCAAGUAUGGAGAGGGAAAUUCAGAGGAAGUGUUUUGUUGUAGCCAGUGGUGCAUCAGCACUUUGGCAAGGUGGAAUGACUGACCAGCCAUUUCAGUGGAAGAAUAAGCAAUCGACAGAGCUCUGGGGAGCCACAUAGAACACAUGGCCACUGAAUUACCCACGUUUCCCAUUUUCUACCAUCCAGCACCCUCUGGAAUGUUACGUUUUAUUUUUUAUUUUUAUUUUUUGGUACUGGGGAUCGAACUCGAGUCCUUGCACUUUCGAGACAGGUGGCAUAACCACUGAGCUAAAUCCCCAGCCCCAAGGAAUGUUACAUUUUAAAAAAAUAAUAAAAGAAAAAGAAAAGAAAA